This 477-nucleotide ribosomal RNA is filed under the name Candidatus Scalindua brodae. Its description in RNAcentral is "bacterial SSU rRNA". It matches the Rfam family "Bacterial small subunit ribosomal RNA", at positions 365 to 832 of the family's 1533-position model. The record is from RNAcentral. Lineage: Bacteria; Pseudomonadati; Planctomycetota; Candidatus Brocadiia; Candidatus Brocadiales; Candidatus Scalinduaceae.
UUCGCAAUGCCCGAAAGGGUGACGAAGCGACGCCGCGUGGGUGAGGAAGGCCUUCGGGUUGUAAAGCCCUGUCAGGAGUUAAGAAAUGUAAGUGCGCUAAUAUCGCAUUUAUUUGACGAAGGCUCCAAAGGAAGUCACGGCUAACUCUGUGCCAGCAGCCGCGGUAAUACCGAGGUGGCAAGCGUUGUUCGGAAUUAUUGGGCGUAAAGAGCACGUAGGUGGGUUUGUAAGUCAGAUGUGAAAGCCUUCUGUUCAACGGAAGAAUUGCAUCUGAAACUGCGAGUCUUGAGUAUAGGAGGGGAGAAUGGAACUUCUGGUGGAGCGGUGAAAUGCGUAGAUAUCAGAAGGAACGCCGGCGGCGAAAGCGAUUCUCUGGCCUAUUACUGAUACUCAGUGUGCGAAAGCUAGGGGAGCAAACGGGAUUAGAUACCCCGGUAGUCCUAGCCGUAAACGAUGGGCACUAAGUAGAGGGGUUUU